RNAcentral lists this ribosomal RNA (931 nucleotides) under uncultured bacterium. RNAcentral's name for it is "bacterial SSU rRNA". It matches the Rfam family "Bacterial small subunit ribosomal RNA", at positions 8 to 913 of the family's 1533-position model. The record is from RNAcentral.
AGAGUUUGAUCAUGGCUCAGAAUCAACGCUGGCGGCGUGCCUCAGACAUGCAAGUCGAACGCGAAAGCUUCCUUCGGGGAGCAAGUAGAGUGGCGCACGGGUGAGUAACACGUAGGUAAUCUACCUUCGGAUGGGGAAUAACAACCGGAAACGGUUGCUAAUACCGCAUAAUGCAGCGGCACCUAAUGGUGACAGUUGUUAAAGCGGGGGAUCGCAAGACCUCGCGUCUGAAGAGGAGCCUGCGGCGGAUUAGCUAGUUGGUAAGGUAACGGCUUACCAAGGCGACGAUCCGUAGCCGGCCUGAGAGGGCGGUCGGCCACACUGACACUGACAUACGGGUCAGACUCCUACGGGAGGCAGCAGUCGGGAAUUUUGGGCAAUGGGCGAAAGCCUGACCCAGCAACGCCGCGUGAAGGAUGAAAUCCUUCGGGAUGUAAACUUCGCAAGAACGGGAAGAAUAAGUGAGAGCCAACACCUCUCACGAUGACGGUACUGUUUGUAAGCUCCGGCUAACUCCGUGCCAGCAGCCGCGGUAAUACGGGGGGAGCAAGCGUUGUUCGGAUUUACUGGGCGUAAAGGGCGCGUAGGCGGCCACUGCAAGUCAGUUGUGAAAUCUCCGGGCUUAACUCGGAAAGGUCAACUGAUACUGCAGGGCUAGAGUGCGGAAGGGGCAACUGGAAUUCUCGGUGUAGCGGUGAAAUGCGUAGAUAUCGAGAGGAACACCUGCGGCGAAAGGCGGGUUGCUGGGCCGACACUGACGCUGAUGCGCGAAAGCUAGGGGAGCGAACGGGAUUAGAUACCCCGGUAGUCCUAGCCUUAAACGAUGGAUGCUUGGUGUCUGGGGUUUUAUAGUCCCCGGGUGCCGUCGCUAACGCUUUAAGCAUCCCGCCUGGGGGAGUACGGUCGCAAGACUGAAACUCAAAGGAAUUGA